Molecule: ribosomal RNA, 255 nt
Filed under: uncultured bacterium
Lineage: Bacteria
Description: partial 16S ribosomal RNA
Rfam family: Bacterial small subunit ribosomal RNA
Source: RNAcentral
GACAGAGGGUGCAAACGUUGCUCGGAAUUACUGGGCGUAAAGGGCUCGUAGGCGGCCAACUAAGUCACACGUGAAAUCCCCAGGCUUAACCUGGGAACUGCGUGUGAUACUGGAUGGCUUGAAUCCGGGAGAGGGAUGCGGAAUUCCAGGUGUAGCGGUGAAAUGCGUAGAUAUCUGGAGGAACACCGGUGGCGAAGGCGGCAUCCUGGACCGGUAUUGACGCUGAGUGAGCGAAAGCCAGGGGAGCAAACGGGG